The sequence is a ribosomal RNA, 1646 nucleotides long. It matches the Rfam family "Bacterial large subunit ribosomal RNA", at positions 1220 to 2874 of the family's 2925-position model.
CGUGAGCGGUAGAGGAGCGUCGUAAUCGGGCUGAAGUCGUACCGUAAGGAGCGGUGGACUGAUUACGAGUGAGAAUGUUGGCAUUAGUAGCGAGAUGUAGGCGAGAAUCCUACAGGCCGAAUAUCUAAGGUUUCCUGAGUAAAGUUUGUCUUCUCAGGGUUAGUCGGGACCUAAGGCGAGGCCGAAAGGCGUAGUCGAUGGACAAUUGGUUGAUAUUCCAAUACCACUAUAAUCGUUAUUAUCGAUGGUGUGACGGAGAAGGAUAGGAUGUGCUAGCUAUUGGAUGCUAGUCUAAGCGUUUAGGGAGUUGGGAUUGGCAAAUCCGUUCCAACAAUUCUGAGGCGUGAUGGGGAAGGUUCUACGGAACCGAAGUAUCUGAUUCCAUGCUUCCAAGAAAAGCAUCUAGAGAGAGAAGUAGUGCCCGUACCGCAAACCGACACAGGUAGAUGAGGAGAGAAUCCUAAGGCCGACGGAAGAAUUGCAGUUAAGGAACUAGGCAAAUUGACCCCGUAACUUCGGGAGAAGGGGUGCCUGAGAAAUCAGGCCGCAGAGAAUAGGCACAAGCAACUGUUUAACAAAAACACAGGUCUCUGCUAAAGCGAAAGCUGAUGUAUAGGGGCUGACGCCUGCCCGGUGCUGGAAGGUUAAGGGGAACACUUAGUGGUAACGCGAAGGUGUGAACUUAAGCCCCAGUAAACGGCGGCCGUAACUAUAACGGUCCUAAGGUAGCGAAAUUCCUUGUCAGGUAAGUUCUGACCCGCACGAAUGGCGUAAUGACUUGUGCACUGUCUCAACUGCAAAUCCGGCGAAGUUGUAGUGCGAGUGAAGAUGCUCGCUACCCGCGAUUGGACGGAAAGACCCCGUAGAGCUUUACUGUAGCUUAGCAUUGAAUUUCGGUAUUGUCUGUACAGGAUAGGUGGGAGACUGGGAAACUAGGGCGUCAGCCUUGGUGGAGUCGUUGUUGGGAUACCACCCUGAUAGUAUUGAAGUUCUAACUGGAUGCCAUGAAACUGGUGACAGGACAUUGUUAGGUGGGCAGUUUGACUGGGGCGGUCGCCUCCUAAAAUGUAACGGAGGCGCCCAAAGGUUCCCUCAGAACGGUCGGAAAUCGUUCGAAGAGUGUAAAGGCAGAAGGGAGCCUGACUGCGACACCUACAAGUGGAGCAGGGACGAAAGUCGGGCUUAGUGAUCCGGUGGUACCUCGUGGGAGGGCCAUCGCUCAACGGAUAAAAGCUACCUCGGGGAUAACAGGCUGAUCUCCCCCAAGAGUUCACAUCGACGGGGAGGUUUGGCACCUCGAUGUCGGCUCGUCGCAUCCUGGGGCUGAAGUAGGUCCCAAGGGUUGGGCUGUUCGCCCAUUAAAGCGGCACGCGAGCUGGGUUCAGAACGUCGUGAGACAGUUCGGUCCCUAUCCGUCGCGGGCGUAGGAAAUUUGAGAGGAGCUGUCCUUAGUACGAGAGGACCGGGAUGGACUGACCUAUGGUGUACCAGUUGUUUCGCCAGAAGCAUAGCUGGGUAGCUAAGUCGGGAAGGGAUAAACGCUGAAAGCAUCUAAGUGUGAAGCCCACCUCAAGAUGAGAUUUCCCAUAGCAUAAGCUAGUAAGACCCCUUGAAGACUACAAGGUUGAUAGGUCAGAGGUGUAAGU